GGAUGAACGCUGGCGGCGUGCCUAAUACAUGCAAGUCGAGCGAACAGACAAGGAGCUUGCUCCUUUGACGUUAGCGGCGGACGGGUGAGUAACACGUGGGUAACCUACCUAUAAGACUGGGAUAACUUCGGGAAACCGGAGCUAAUACCGGAUAAUAUUUCGAACCGCAUGGUUCGAUAGUGAAAGAUGGUUUUGCUAUCACUUAUAGAUGGACCCGCGCCGUAUUAGCUAGUUGGUAAGGUAACGGCUUACCAAGGCGACGAUACGUAGCCGACCUGAGAGGGUGAUCGGCCACACUGGAACUGAGACACGGUCCAGACUCCUACGGGAGGCAGCAGUAGGGAAUCUUCCGCAAUGGGCGAAAGCCUGACGGAGCAACGCCGCGUGAGUGAUGAAGGUCUUCGGAUCGUAAAACUCUGUUAUUAGGGAAGAACAUACGUGUAAGUAACUAUGCACGUCUUGACGGUACCUAAUCAGAAAGCCACGGCUAACUACGUGCCAGCAGCCGCGGUAAUACGUAGGUGGCAAGCGUUAUCCGGAAUUAUUGGGCGUAAAGCGCGCGUAGGCGGUUUAAGUCUGAUGUGAAAAGCCCACGGCUCAACCGUGGAGGGUCAUUGGAAACUGGAAAACUUGAGUGCAGAAGAGGAAAGUGGAAUUCCAUGUGUAGCGGUGAAAUGCGCAGAGAUAUGGAGGAACACCAGUGGCGAAGGCGACUUUCUGGUCUGUAACUGACGCUGAUGUGCGAAAGCGUGGGGAUCAAACAGGAUUAGAUACCCUGGUAGUCCACGCCGUAAACGAUGAGUGCU
RNAcentral lists this ribosomal RNA (806 nucleotides) under Staphylococcus sp. KSUM_65. Its description in RNAcentral is "bacterial SSU rRNA". It matches the Rfam family "Bacterial small subunit ribosomal RNA", at positions 27 to 817 of the family's 1533-position model. Lineage: Bacteria; Bacillati; Bacillota; Bacilli; Caryophanales; Staphylococcaceae. The record is from RNAcentral.